Long non-coding RNA from Homo sapiens (human), 1963 nucleotides. Lineage: Eukaryota; Metazoa; Chordata; Mammalia; Primates; Hominidae. The record is from Ensembl.
GAAUGCCUACUGGGGUGAUAACAGUUUUAAAAAGUAUUAUGUUUUACUUCUUCAUGUAUAUUUGCAUGUUUUCCUAACAGACCCUCAACGUUGCUAGAUGAUUGGCUAUAUGGAUGAUUUGACUGGGAGGUAGUGGCCCUAAUGGAGUAAUAAGAAACGCUGUGCAUAGAUGGUUGAGAAACAGCCCUGGGUGCUGACACAUCCCAAACAUUAAAUAGGCCUUAUGAAAUGUAUUUUGGUGUUCUUGAGAUACGAGGAUGAAUUUUCAAGAGGACAAUUUAGUCUCAUUUUAACUUGGAAGAUAGAAGAGAUGGUCAAGAGUCUUAUCCGUUGUUUAUAUAAAAAGACUGUAGAAAAUGCGUCAAAGCAUUCGUGAGAUUAGGCACCUCUACAUGCUUCUUGAGGUUAGACACCUCUACAUGUUUGGUGUGGUAUCUAGCACAGAGUAAGCUCUAAAUACAACAAAUAGAAUGAAUAAAUAAAUGAAUGAAUGAACGUUGUAUUCAUUGAUGGUGACUGACACAUGUUCCUUUCUCCUCCCUGUCUGUCUAGUUCUUCUCACCUGAAGAACGUUGGGAAGACCUUAAUUGGAAUCACAAGAAUUGGGUGUAAACUUUGGCUCCACAUUCACUAUCUGUGGGACAUUCAUUAUCUGUGGGCUUCAUCUGUAAAUGGGUGGGCUGUCUUUGGGUAGGUCACCCAGUUGAAACAAUGGACUCCAAGGGUUUUAUUACCUCCUAAGUGUUGAAUAGGAUUAUUGUGUGUCUCCUUGACUUAAUUAGUCCAAUUUUCUACCUCAGGUAGCACAACCAUCACUUCUCAAUUUCGUAUUCUAUUUCUUUUAGGAAGAGUCAAUGCUCAAGAUCUGUGAGAAACUGAAGCAUGUUUGCCUGUUUUUCUCAAUAUAUGCACGUUCUGUAUAUCUCAGUUCUAAAGAACUAAAGCAUAUCACCUGCUGUCAAUGCCUUGACCUUCAAUGAUGGAUACUGAAGCCUUUUAUAGAAAUACAGAAAAACAGCUUUCCCCAGCGUUUUCUCCCCUACCUUCUCUCCUGAACAGUACUGACGUGGCUGCUUGGUAGAAGUUUACCACUAGGGUCCUAUGGAGUAGACAUACAGGACCUUCCGAACUGCUGUGGGGGAAGAAGAGAAGAUGGUGUCUCAGUCUGUCACCCAGGCUGGAGUGCAGCGGUGUGAUCUCGGCUCACUGCAACCUCUGCCUCCCAGUAGAGACGGGGUUUCAUCAUGUUGGCCAGACUGGUCUCGAACUCAUGACCUCAAGUGAUCCACCUGCCUCAGUCUCUCAAAGUGCUGGAAUUACAGGCGUGAGCCACCAUGCCUGGCCCUGCUUGAUCAUUUUUGAAAAGCAGAAAUCCAGGAACAGACCCGAGGGAGUUACAAGGUGUAGAAUGUUGAAGGUAUUUCUCAAAAUGCUAUUCCUCUUCUCAAUACCAGUUCAGCAUUCUCCUCCAGAGAUCUGGUGUCUCACACUGCCUUUUGUGCUGUAAAAGCCAAGCCAAAUGAGAGGCAUUUAAAUUAUUUCUGUUGCCUAGGAAAGAGAAAUAUUAUCCACAGUAACAAAAUCAUCAAAUUUUAUUAUGCACAAGUUAGUGCUAUAUAUUUAGGAGUUUUGCUUUAGAGGAUAUAAUUUAGAAAAAUGGGACAGCUUUUCAUUGGCUUGGAAGUUUCUAUUGUCAAAACAUAUUACCAGGAAAGUACAAUACAUUGUAAAAUUAUAAGGAACUGCAAUUCAGUCCUAUUUUGACUUUAUUUAUAAAAAAAACAAAUUAAUAGCAAAUGAAUAAAACUUUUAAACCAUUAUCCGGGUAAUAAUACUAAACAAAACAACUAAUAAAACAGCCGCAUUCAAACAGCUGUUUAAGGAAGCCCAAUGAUAUUUCAUCCAUUGUCAAACUUGGCAUUUGAGCAGAAUAAAGACCAAAGUAAAUAUUUAUUGAUUCAUG